This 5469-nucleotide long non-coding RNA is filed under the name Sorghum bicolor (sorghum). RNAcentral's name for it is "long non-coding RNA (SBIC_LNC018127)". Lineage: Eukaryota; Viridiplantae; Streptophyta; Magnoliopsida; Poales; Poaceae. The record is from RNAcentral.
UUUUGCAGACAAAGGCUGGAGAUGCCAAGAAGAAGUAAGGGGGAAGUUGCUUGCUUGCCAUCUUCAUCUUGUUUGGCUUUGGUUUGUUAGGGUGGGUUCCUUGUGGCAAUGCUGAAUGUUUAACUAGAAGUAGAGAGGGUUUUGCCAGUUACCCAGUACGUUGAGUUUCUCGCUGUGCCUUGUGUUCAGUUUUGGGGUACCUUGUCAGACACUAGAAUAUAUACUUGGUUAUUAUUUUGAUUUAUAUUUUGUGUCUACUGAUGAGAAGUUGGAUGCAAGACACUGUCUGCUGCUCCCUCUAAGACUGUUCAUCUUUAAGGCUUUUUUUUUACAAAAUUUAUAUAAUGUACUGUGUAAGAAUUUUUCUCACUAACGACGUGUUUUUUAUUUACAAAAUUUAAAGUGAUCUCGCAAAGUGUCGUUGGUAUGGUCAAUCGACCAAAGGCCAGCGAGACAACAAGAUGCAACCCUUGUUACACUUGCACACGAAAACCCGUUUAGGGCUGUGGCAUUGGUGCUGCAGUAACCAAAAAUAGAGCUACGGUACAUCAGGCCAACUAAGUAUCUCCACAUCCUACUUCUCUGUUUAGGUAAUUAUCAAAUAUCAUAGUAAUAUUUUGUUAAUAACUCUAGCAACACUACCUAAAAUAGAUCCUUCCAAAUCCAUCCUUGUAGAGGAUGACAUGUGGGACUCAUCUGUCAUCCUCUUCUUCAUCUCAUGGCCCAUGGACGAACUUGGCCGUCCUCGUCGGUCGCAUCACGCACGGAAGGGGAGCCGCUGGGAAGGGGAACCGUUGGCGUCGAGGAGGUGAGAUGCUACGUCAGGCUUGGCCGUUGCUGUCGAGCUCUUGCAAUGCCAGGAUGGCUGGGAAUGAGAUCCUCUGCAGUCACCCAAAUCGACUGCACCCUACAGUCAGGGACAUCGGACCCUUCAUAAAGAUCGAACGGCGAACAGCUCCCAACAAGCUUCCAUACGUUGGGCCUUGGCCCAUCUCAGCCCAAGCCACCACGCUAGCUAGCUCAUCAUGGCAACUUCCUUCGCCUCUGUCCUUGUCUUGCUGGUUGCCGAGCCGCCGUGCCAUAGAACAUCUCGAUCUUGGCCGCCAGUGCUGCUAAGCUCGGCGAAAAGCGAGAUGAAGGAAGUGUUGCGCUUGGGGCAGACCACAACGAUGUCGCCGUGGCCCAGGAGACGCGCCAUGGCGGCGUCGUCCCUGGCCAUGCGCACAAUCGCGCCAAUCAGGGAGAUGAGGUCGGACACGCGGCUUAGGUUGUAAGGACACGGCGUGCGCAGGGCGGUCUAGCGCGAUGGACAUGUAUGGCGGUUGCUCGCGUACAGCUACCUGCACCCGGUGGAGGAGCCGCUGUUUUCGUCGCCACCUGUGUGCAGGAGCGAGACGCGGAGGCGCCACGACUGGCCCAAUGCAGCCAGGAGCCCUGUGAAGGAGGAGGGAGUCAGGGAGACAGGGUGGGAACGCUGCACGCCAGCAGCAACCAGGACACAGCAACGGCGUGCGACCCUCGACGACGAGGACGGCGUCGGCGCGGGGCUCUUGAUGAGGGGAUGGAGAUGGUGACGCGGUAGUCGCUCACAAUGCUGGCCAGUAAGGCAGCAAGGCGGAAGACAGCAACUGCGAUUUCACCAUGGGGACCUCUCGAUAGGACCUGGGCUAUGGUGGGCCUUGAAUUUGUGCGGCCUAUGUGUCACUUUGGCAGAGCAAUCGUUGGAUCAGCACGGAACGGUGCAGAUGACUUGACUGUAGGAUGCAAUCGGUUUGGGUGACUGCAGAGGAUCUCAUUCCGGAUGGCUGGGCCGGUCAGGCAGCCGUGUCAGGGAGGCGACACUAGGGAGGGAUGGCCGUGUCGGGGAGGGAUGGUGCGGCAGCUGUGUCAGGGAGGCGACGCUAGGGAGGGAUGGCCGUGUCGGGGAGGGAUGGUGCUCGUGCAUGCACAAGCAUAUGAAUCCGUUCGCUUAUCUUGUAAAAGUCGUAUUUUUUCUGUUACCUAGCAGUGUUUUUCUCUUAUAAUAAAUUAACGAAUAAUACUUUUCGUCAUAAUUUUUUAGAUAAACGAACAGAGAAGGAGGAAAUUUUGCACGAUAGAGUAGGAAGCCAACACAAAUAGGGGGUUAAAGGGGGAAAAGUAGGAGUCAACAAAAGAAGAGGGUGUAGUAGAGGAUCUGUUGGAGCUUUUUUUUAUCCUACUACCUAAAACUCUCUUUACUCACAUGAAACUCUUAUCAUCUCUCUCUUUGUGUCACAUUAGCAUACUUAAUGUCCAUAAAACUUUAAUGAAACUCUAUCGAAACUGACCUAGGGUACAGCCGCCAAAAGAAAGAAAAUAAACAAACCCAUGAGAGUACCAUUGGAUCCAUUUGUAAUGUUUCCACUGAUCAGGAGCAAUAUAUUUGUCAGUUCAAAAAGACCUGGAGCUACUAGCAAGAUGCUGCAAUCCACACAUAGCAGUAGACUACUAGUACUAAGCUAGUACUGCUCCUUCAAUCUUCAUGCUGCUGGUAUCGCAUUCAGCGCGGAUUGAGUGACUUUCCUUCGUAAGUCACGACGUAACUUUCGUUUCAUCAUGUGCGUCCAACACCGAUCCAAGGGCUCUUAUCCAUACAAAGCAAAAACAACAUCACGUGCGGGAGUUAAGCAGGAGCAGAGAAGGGAGCAGAAGCAUUCGCCGCCGCACGGCAAGGCACAGGAGCACUGGGACGGCGCAGGACGACAGGGCAGGACGCCUCAACUCCUCUGUGCAGCGGGCUGCCGCUGCUGCUCGGCACAACACGCGAGAAACAACAGCCAUGAGAGGACGCAGGCAAGAGCAUAGGGCCGUCGGCGAGCUCGCAUCCAGCACGACCCAUGUAGAAGGCGGCAUGACAAACAAGCGGCCGACGCAGAGAGCUUGGGGUCAGCGUGGCCGAGUGUGCGCUGAGAGCUGCUGGCACAGAGGGUGGCGCGAUGUGCUCUCGGCCAGCGCCACGAGUGUGUGCAAAACCAGGGCGGUGCGACGAUCGAUGAGUGCUGCGAGCGAGCGCAGACUGUGCGGAGACCAGCGCGGAGAGUGACGAGGCGAGCUCGCUGCCCUCGCUCCCAGCGCGGGGAGCGUGCGAGGCCGAGGUGGAGGGCGGCGCGACAAGAGAGCGGUCGACAAGGAUACUGACGCGGCGAGCUUGCGACCGGCAUGCGCAGAGCGCGGUCGGGACAGAGGGCGGCGCAGCGAGCUCACGGCCAGCACCGCGAGUGUGCGCGGCCGGGGCGUAGGGCGGCGUGACGAGAGGCGGCCAACACGAUCUCGAUGAGCCGUGAGCGCGUAGGAUACAGACUCAACCGCGCACGCCGCCACCGCCCAUCAGUGUGCGAUAUUGAAUGACAUGGCGAGAGCCAGCACGGUCCAAACAGAGAUGUCCUGACUCGAUGGAGAGAUUUCGAUGCAGAGACAGCAAGCGCUGCUCCGGCUCCCGCGGUUGGGAGGAGCAGCAGCCUUGCUCCACCGGCAGCUCGCCCGCAUGCGACCAGAAAGUUGAGCGCGAAGAUGGCCAGGUUGAAGCAGCUUGCCCACGUGCGACCAGAAAGUUGAGCGAGAAGAAAGUUUAGCGAGAAGAUGGCCAGCUUGAAGAACACCGUGACUGAGAAGACGAUGGAGACGGCGACAACGACCGGACAGAGAUGUUGAGCGGCGACGGCAACAAGCUGCUCCGCGUGCAGCAGCAUGGCGGAGCCGAUGCAGAGUGCAAGGAAGAGGAUGGGGAGCGGAGAUCUUGUCCCGGAGCCGACUGGCGCUUCUCCAGCAGCAACAGUUGGGGCGGUUAGGAGAACUCCUCGGACUGGUGUGCCUCCAUGGACGACUCUUCCCUUCGCUGCCCUUCACAAAAGAAAUAGAGAUUAUAUGCCUGGAUUGCUUGCAAGCAUUGUGAGCCAUUGGAUCUCUCUUGAAUGGUGGAUUUACAAGCGAAAGUUACGUCGUGACUUCGUUGAGCAACGUUACUGAAUCCGCGUCCGGCUAAGGAAGCAAACAUGAAAAUUUUGAAGAGCACAGAGCACUCUAGUAGUACUAGGGCCUUGUUUUAGUUCUGAAAAGUGAAAAGUUUUCGGUACUGUAGUACUUUCGUUUGUUUGUGACAAAUAUUAUCCAGUCAUGGACUAACUAGGAUCAAAAGAUUCGUCUCGUGAUUUACAGUUAAACUGUGUAAUUAGUUUUGUUUUCGUCUAUAUUUAAUGUUGGAUGCAUGUGCCACAAGAUUCGAUGUGACGAGGAAUCUUGAAAUUUUUUUGAUUUUAAGGGUGAACUAAACAAGACCUACCUACUAUACUUGUCAUCAUAUUCCGUACGCCAUAUACUAGCAUAGUACUAGCUACUAGUUUGAGGCGACGCAGUUCAGGCCCAACCCAUCCACAAGGAUUUUUUUAUUUUUAAUCCUUUUUUAAACAAAUUCUAAAUUUGACACUGAAAAUAUUUUUUCUAAAACUAACCCUUUUGGCUGCGUCAUCAUACAUGACGCGACAUUAUAACACUGUAGCACCAUGCAUAGUGGCGCGGCAGGGGUGGCCAUGUGGCUCAGGUGGCGGCCCUGCCACGCCACCAUACGUGACGGUGCCGCACCCCAGAUCUUUGCGCGGCAAGGCCAAAUAAGAGUCUGCGCGGGCGCCCGGGCGGCCCAGUUUCUUUCGGCCGCCCGAGCCACCCUCUCCCUCCCCUCCUCUCCCUCCCCAACCCCCCAGCACCUUUCCCCUAGCCUCCUUCCCUCCUCUCUCUCCCCACCCCUCCCUCCCCACCCUCUUCCCGCCUUUCGGCUUCCUCGUUUUGUUGCAUUGUUAUGGAGGUAUUCAUCUUGUCUUUAAUUUUGAAAAAUUACUUUCUUGGUACAUAGUAUUAAUUGUACUUUGUGUUUGUUGAAACAAUUAUUUAGAUGAACGACAUGUAUCGUGAAAGCUAUUGGAACAAGCAGGGUCGUCCUCGAGAAUUAUACCCAGACGUGUCUAGCAAAGAUGCACCAGUGCCUCCUGGCCUCCCUGUCCCCAGUUGUGAUUGUGGUCGUCCCGCCGAUGUUAUGCAAUCUAGACAUCCGUAGACGGUGGCGCAUUGCUUCUACACAUGUAGUAGUCAUAGUGUAAGUAAUUGUCACUUUAGAUUAUGUUGUUAAUUUAUAUUACUUGGUUAGUAACACAAUCUUCGAGUAUUAUUUUGUAGGGACAUGAGAGGUGUUUUUUCUUUCAAUGGAUAGAUGGUUCAAACAAGUUUGACCCAAGGUACCUCAUCUUCCCUGGUUGAGGCACUCAUCACCAGCGUGAGCACUUCAAACGGUGGGUUCCACCUCCGCCUAACCCUCCACAAGCUCCUGAGAAGUUGUCAUCAUAUAUACUUGUCAUCAUAUAUACUUGGUUAUUAUUUUGAUUUAUAUUUUUUGUCUGCUGAUGAGAAGUUGGAUGCAAGACACUGUCGCUGCUCCCUCUAAGACUGUUCAUCUUUAAG